CACCAUCAACCAGUCAAACAUGAGCGGCUGUUGUGACUUAACGAAGAAAUGUUUAACCCUAAAAAGGGGGGGCAUUCUUCUUAACGAAGCUGUCACACCGCCGCGACGGACUCUACUGUUGUUUACUUCAAAACCUCGAAACGUCAAAAACCGUCACAACUACUCUCAAACGACGUCGCCAGCGAAGGAAAUUCGCACCGAUUUGGAAGCGAUAGCGAGCUUACAAAAACUGGUUUUUGGCCUGCAAAUGGAGUAUUUUAACGUCCCUCCAAUAUUCUGUAGCGUAUACUCUUGUGAUUACAUACUGAAUAUGGAAUUAGCCGAAAAUCCCCCAAAAUACACUGGCUAAGCUCGUGGUGAACCGGGUGGACCUAACAUACGAAAAUCCCAUUAUUGAAUUACCCACCGUACUACCCCUGUUCCGCUGGGCAUGAACCUUCCUUCUCCCGGUGGCAAAUAUGCGCCGAACCUAAACCCAACCGCCACACAGUCAGCAGCAACAUCAUGGAAAAGCAAAAUCCUUCUC
Molecule: long non-coding RNA, 526 nt
Organism: Anopheles gambiae (African malaria mosquito)
Lineage: Eukaryota; Metazoa; Arthropoda; Insecta; Diptera; Culicidae
Exons: 3
Source: RefSeq, a predicted model, not a curated record